RNAcentral lists this ribosomal RNA (607 nucleotides) under uncultured bacterium. Its description in RNAcentral is "bacterial SSU rRNA". The stretch from base 1 to 520 matches the Rfam family "Bacterial small subunit ribosomal RNA", at positions 338 to 873 of the family's 1533-position model. The record is from RNAcentral.
CCUACGGGAGGCAGCAGUGGGGAAUCUUGCGCAAUGGGCGAAAGCCUGACGCAGCAACGCCGCGUGCGGGAAGAAGGCUUUCGGGCUGUAAACCGCUUUCAGCAGGAACGAAAAUGACGGUACCUGCAGAAGAAGGAGCGGCCAACUAUGUGCCAGCAGCCGCGGUGAUACAUAGGCUUCAAGCGUUGUCCGGAUUUAUUGGGCGUAAAGAGUUCGUAGGCGGUCGAGUAAGUCGGGUGUGAAAAUUCUGGGCUCAACCCAGAGACGCCACCCGAUACUGCUUGACUUGAGUUCGAUAGGGGAGUGGGGAAUUCCUAGUGUAGCGGUGAAAUGCGCAGAUAUUAGGAGGAACACCGGUGGCGAAGGCGCCACUCUGGAUCGAUACUGACGCUGAGGAACGAAAGCAUGGGUAGCAAACAGGAUUAGAUACCCUGGUAGUCCAUGCCGUAAACGGUGGGCACUAGGUGUGGGUUUCUAUUAACGAAAUCCGCGCCGUCGCUAACGCAUUAAGUGCCCCGCCUCGGGAGGUACGGUCGCGAGAACGUAAACUACAAAGAAGUAAGUAGUACGUUGAGAGUUAGCGACGACGACGACGACGGAGGAGGAG